This 517-nucleotide long non-coding RNA is filed under the name Ornithorhynchus anatinus (platypus). Its description in RNAcentral is "lncRNA (ENSOANG00000036986.1)". The record is from RNAcentral. Lineage: Eukaryota; Metazoa; Chordata; Mammalia; Monotremata; Ornithorhynchidae.
UCAGGGAUGCAAGACAGAGAAACCAACCUUUUCCCUCCUCCAGGGAGAGCUCCGGGAGGAAAGGCAAGAACGAGAAGGGUGCUCUCUCUGGAGGCCGAAGAGUUAACAUUUCCUGGAUUCCUCACACCCAUCCUCGGCCAGGCCGGCUGGUCCAGCCCCUCCACGUCCACCCCAGCCCGCCCCAAAGGUGCUUGGUGCUGAAGUUUGAGGAUGAAGGCUGGUCUGUAGCCAGGACCAACUUGGAUCUCUUGACCCACUGAAGGCAGGAAGACUUGGCAGAAGGUCAGAGGUUUCAAUAUGUCUUUUCUAAACUUGCUUGGGAGUACAGUUCCUUUGGAGCUCUGUGGCCCUAAUUUAUUUUUAAAUGGUAUUGGUUAAGCACUUACCAUGUGCCAGGUGCUGUACUAAGCACCAGAGUCUCGUCUUAAGCCGUCGGGUCGUCUCCGAUCCAUAGGGACGCCAUGGACGCAUCUCUCCUAGAAUUAAUUCAUUCAGUUGUAUUUAUUGAGCACUUAUU